This 730-nucleotide ribosomal RNA is filed under the name uncultured bacterium. Its description in RNAcentral is "bacterial SSU rRNA". It matches the Rfam family "Bacterial small subunit ribosomal RNA", at positions 8 to 734 of the family's 1533-position model. The record is from RNAcentral.
AGAGUUUGAUCCUGGCUCAGAUUGAACGCUGGCGGCAUGCUUUACACAUGCAAGUCGAACGGCAGCGGGGGCUUCGGCCUGCCGGCGAGUGGCGAACGGGUGAGUAAUACAUCGGAACGUGUCCUUAAGUGGGGAAUAACGCAUCGAAAGAUGUGCUAAUACCGCAUAUCUCUCAGGAGGAAAGCAGGGGAUCGAAAGACCUUGCGCUAAAGGAGCGGCUGAUGUCUGAUUAGCUAGUUGGUGGGGUAAAGGCUUACCAAGGCAACGAUCAGUAGCUGGUCUGAGAGGACGACCAGCCACACUGGGACUGAGACACGGCCCAGACUCCUACGGGAGGCAGCAGUGGGGAAUUUUGGACAAUGGGCGAAAGCCUGAUCCAGCCAUGCCGCGUGAGUGAAGAAGGCCUUCGGGUUGUAAAGCUCUUUUAGUCGGAAAGAAAGAGUCAUAGUAAAUAGCUAUGAUUUAUGACGGUACCGACAGAAAAAGCACCGGCUAACUACGUGCCAGCAGCCGCGGUAAUACGUAGGGUGCGAGCGUUAAUCGGAAUUACUGGGCGUAAAGGGUGCGCAGGCGGCCUUGUAAGUCAGAUGUGAAAGCCCCGGGCUUAACCUGGGAAUUGCGUUUGAAACUACAAAGCUAGAGUGCAGCAGAGGGGAGUGGAAUUCCAUGUGUAGCAGUGAAAUGCGUAGAGAUGUGGAAGAACACCGAUGGCGAAGGCAGCUCCCUGGGU